GACGAACGCUGGCGGCGUGCUUAACACAUGCAAGUCGAACGGAAAGGCCCUGCUUUUGUGGGGUGCUCGAGUGGCGAACGGGUGAGUAACACGUGAGUAACCUGCCCUUGACUUUGGGAUAACUUCAGGAAACUGGGGCUAAUACCGGAUAGGAGCUCCUGCUGCAUGGUGGGGGUUGGAAAGUUUCGGCGGUUGGGGAUGGACUCGCGGCUUAUCAGCUUGUUGGUGGGGUAGUGGCUUACCAAGGCUUUGACGGGUAGCCGGCCUGAGAGGGUGACCGGCCACAUUGGGACUGAGAUACGGCCCAGACUCCUACGGGAGGCAGCAGUGGGGAAUAUUGCACAAUGGGCGGAAGCCUGAUGCAGCAACGCCGCGUGCGGGAUGACGGCCUUCGGGUUGUAAACCGCUUUCGCCUGUGACGAAGCGUGAGUGAUGGUAAUGUGUAAAGAAGCACCGGCUAACUACGUG
RNAcentral lists this ribosomal RNA (468 nucleotides) under uncultured bacterium. RNAcentral's name for it is "partial 16S ribosomal RNA". It matches the Rfam family "Bacterial small subunit ribosomal RNA", at positions 28 to 507 of the family's 1533-position model. The record is from RNAcentral.